UGUUGACCGUUAAAAGCUAGCCGAGAGUCACCAACCAGAUUCGACCAAUAUCAAAUAUCGGUUUUAUACAUCGAACCCAUUUUGACUUGCCCCUACUUCAUACCAUGUUCCAUGGUAGCCGAAGAAACAUGACCCAUUGCAACAGGUCCUGGAACAAAAAUAGGUCGGUCGUUACAUUCACCAAAGGAGGUCUGAGUUUGCAGGGAUAAACAUAAGCAGCCUCGGAUUUGGCAGGAUGUUAGUCAUGUCAAGGGGUGAGGUAUUAUAACUACACUUGAAUGAUUCUAUAGUCUUGGGGUGUGUAUUUCCACAUAAAUCACCGAGUUUCUUUCCGUGUUAAUCAUCGGUAAGAUCAAGGGCGACCCGGUUGUUGCUAAC
This 378-nucleotide long non-coding RNA is filed under the name Helianthus annuus (common sunflower). Its description in RNAcentral is "sRNA HanXRQr2_Chr17g0791131". Lineage: Eukaryota; Viridiplantae; Streptophyta; Magnoliopsida; Asterales; Asteraceae. The record is from RNAcentral.